CCUACGGGGGGCUGCAGUGAGGAAUAUUGGUCAAUGGGCGCAAGCCUGAACCAGCCAAGUCGCGUGAGGGAUGACGGUCCUAUGGAUUGUAAACCUCUUUUGUCGGGGAGCAAGGCCCGCCACGUGUGGCGGGAAGGAGAGUACCCGAAGAAAAAGCAUCGGCUAACUCCGUGCCAGCAGCCGCGGUAAUACGGAGGAUGCGAGCGUUAUCCGGAUUUAUUGGGUUUAAAGGGUGCGUAGGCGGAAGGUUAAGUCAGCGGUAAAAUGUCGGUGCUCAACACCGGCCUGCCGUUGAAACUGGUCUUCUUGAGUGAGCGAGAAGUAUGCGGAAUGCGUGGUGUAGCGGUGAAAUGCAUAGAUAUCACGCAGAACUCCGAUUGCGAAGGCAGCAUACCGGCGCUCAACUGACGCUGAGGCACGAAAGCGUGGGGAUCGAACAGGAUUAGAUACCCUGGUAGUC
This 460-nucleotide ribosomal RNA is filed under the name uncultured bacterium. Its description in RNAcentral is "partial 16S ribosomal RNA". It matches the Rfam family "Bacterial small subunit ribosomal RNA", at positions 338 to 795 of the family's 1533-position model. The record is from RNAcentral.